GCUACACAUGCAGUCGAGCGCGAAAGGCCUUCGGGCUGAGUAGAGCGGCGGACGGGUGAGUAACGCGUAGGAAUCUACCUGGUAGUGGGGGACAACAUGGUGAAAACCAUGCUAAUACCGCAUACGCCCUAUGGGGGAAAGCGGGGGACCUUCGGGCCUCGCGCUAUCAGAUGAGCCUGCGUAGGAUUAGCUUGUUGGUGAGGUAAAGGCUCACCAAGGCGACGAUCCUUAGCUGGUCUGAGAGGAUGAUCAGCCACACUGGAACUGAGACACGGUCCAGACUCCUACGGGAGGCAGCAGUGGGGAAUAUUGCGCAAUGGGCGAAAGCCUGACGCAGCCAUGCCGCGUGUGUGAAGAAGGCCUUCGGGUUGUAAAGCACUUUCAAUUGGGAGGAAAGGUUGCGUGUUAAUAGCACGUAGCUGUGACGUUACCUUUAGAAGAAGCACCGGCUAACUCCGUGCCAGCAGCCGCGGUAAUACGGAGGGUGCGAGCGUUAAUCGGAAUUACUGGGCGUAAAGCGCGCGUAGGCGGUUUGUUAAGUCGGAUGUGAAAUCCCCGGGCUCAACCUGGGAAUGGCAUUCGAUACUGGCCGACUAGAGUACGAGAGAGGGAGGUAGAAUUCCACGUGUAGCGGUGAAAUGCGUAGAUAUGUGGAGGAAUACCGGUGGCGAAGGCGGCCUCCUGGCUCGAUACUGACGCUGAGGUGCGAAAGCGUGGGUAGCAAACAGGAUUAGAUACCCUGGUAGUCCACGCCGUAAACGAUGUCUACUAGCCGUUGGGAGACUUGAUUUCUUAGUGGCGCAGCUAACGCACUAAG
This 817-nucleotide ribosomal RNA is filed under the name uncultured bacterium. Its description in RNAcentral is "bacterial SSU rRNA". It matches the Rfam family "Bacterial small subunit ribosomal RNA", at positions 48 to 864 of the family's 1533-position model. The record is from RNAcentral.